This 73-nucleotide transfer RNA is filed under the name Stegodyphus mimosarum. It matches the Rfam family "tRNA". Rfam says of the family: Transfer RNA (tRNA) molecules are approximately 80 nucleotides in length. Their secondary structure includes four short double-helical elements and three loops (D, anti-codon, and T loops). Lineage: Eukaryota; Metazoa; Arthropoda; Arachnida; Araneae; Eresidae. The record is from Rfam by way of RNAcentral.
GCCUUCGUGGUGUAAUGGUCAGCACACUGAGCCGGUAUUUCAGAGGUCCGCGGUUCGAUUCCCGGCGAAGUCA